Molecule: ribosomal RNA, 944 nt
Filed under: uncultured Neocallimastigales
Lineage: Eukaryota; Fungi; Neocallimastigomycota; Neocallimastigomycetes; Neocallimastigales
Description: partial large subunit ribosomal RNA
Rfam family: Eukaryotic large subunit ribosomal RNA (bases 148-944)
Source: RNAcentral
CGCAUCUGUGCAUGCAGCAUAUCAAUAAGCGGAGGAAAAGAGGGCUAUUACCUACGCUUAGGAUGUUGAAGAUGUAGCACAUCAUACACGCAUGACACACUGCAUAUCAAUAAGCGGAGGAAAAGCAUUUACCUACGCUUAGGAUGUUGACGCGCGUGUGUGCGUGAGUCUAUACAUGGCUCUGUGCAUAUCAAUAAGCGGAGGAAAAGAAACUAACAAGGAUUCCCUUAGUAACGGCGAGUGAAGCGGGAAGAGCUCAAAUUUGAAAUCUUCAAGGUUUUACCUUGACGAAUUGUAGUUUAAAGAAGUGUUUUCUGUUGAAGUUUUGGUAAAAGUUCUUUGGAAUAGGACAUCAUAGAGGGUGAGAAUCCCGUAUUUGACCAUUAUUUUCAGCUGUGUGAUACACUUUCAAAGAGUCGGAUUGUUUGGGAAUGCAGUCCAAAAUGGGUGGUAAAUUUCAUCUAAAGCUAAAUAUUGGCGAGAGACCGAUAGCGAACAAGUACUGUGAGGGAAAGAUGAAAAGAACUUUGAAAAGAGAGUUAAACAGUACGUGAAAUUGUCAAAAGGGAAGCGUUUGACACCAGUGUUGUUUUCUCGAAAAUCAAUUAAAAAGAGUUUGAUUUUGUUGUGUAUUGACCUUAACAGCUUGCAUUUCAAUUUUCUUGCUUUUUUUAAUGCACUUUUCGUUUAACAAGUCAACAUCAGUUUCUUUUGUUGUAAAAAGGUCAUUGGAAGGUGGCUUUCUUUUCGGAGAAAGUGUUUAUAGCCUUUGACUCCUGCAAUCGGAGAGACUGAGGUCUGCAGCGUAGAUCCUUCGGGGUUAGAUACAUUUGUGCUAAGUUAUAGCUUUUUAUAGACAACUUGUUGACUAUGAUUAGUCUUGUAGCUUACCUCGCUUAUGCUAUUUUACCUACGCUUAGGAUGUUGACGCGCGUGUGUGCGUG